This 83-nucleotide transfer RNA is filed under the name Schistocephalus solidus. It matches the Rfam family "tRNA". Rfam says of the family: Transfer RNA (tRNA) molecules are approximately 80 nucleotides in length. Their secondary structure includes four short double-helical elements and three loops (D, anti-codon, and T loops). Lineage: Eukaryota; Metazoa; Platyhelminthes; Cestoda; Diphyllobothriidea; Diphyllobothriidae. The record is from Rfam by way of RNAcentral.
GGCCUCGUAGCUCAGUUGGUUAUAGCUUUGGCUGUAUUAAAGCCUUCCGCUUGUUGACGUGGGUUCAAAUCCCACCGAGGCCA